Molecule: ribosomal RNA, 524 nt
Filed under: uncultured bacterium
Lineage: Bacteria
Description: bacterial SSU rRNA
Rfam family: Bacterial small subunit ribosomal RNA
Source: RNAcentral
AGAGUUUGAUCCUGGCUCAGGAUGAACGCUAGCGACAGGCCUAACACAUGCAAGUCGAGGGGCAGCACGGUGUAGCAAUACACGGGUGGCGACCGGCGCACGGGUGAGUAACGCGUAUGCAACCUGCCUACUACAAGGGGAUAACCCGUUGAAAGACGGACUAAUACCCUAUAACACAGGGAAUCCGCAUGGAUAUAUUUGUUAAAGAUUUAUCGGUAGUAGAUGGGCAUGCGUUCCAUUAGCUUGUUGGUGAGGUAACGGCUCACCAAGGCAACGAUGGAUAGGGGAACUGAGAGGUUGAUCCCCCACACUGGAACUGAGACACGGUCCAGACUCCUACGGGAGGCAGCAGUGAGGAAUAUUGGUCAAUGGACGAGAGUCUGAACCAGCCAAGUCGCGUGAAGGAAGACGGCCCUACGGGUUGUAAACUUCUUUUGUAAGGGAAUAAAUAGUCUUACGUGCUAAGACGUUGCAGGUACCUUACGAAUAAGGAUCGGCUAACUCCGUGCCAGCAGCCGCGGUAA